Molecule: ribosomal RNA, 456 nt
Filed under: Triticum aestivum (bread wheat)
Lineage: Eukaryota; Viridiplantae; Streptophyta; Magnoliopsida; Poales; Poaceae
Description: partial small subunit ribosomal RNA
Source: RNAcentral
AUGUCCAGGAUGCGCUUCUCGAUCUCCAUCAGCCGGGUGCCGAACCUCUUGAACGCCUCCAGGGCCUUGGCGUCCGACGUCCACUCCGGCGUGUCGCGCUGCCCGAGGUACACCUCGUCGGAGGAGUGCUUCGACAGGAUCUCGAUGAGCGUGAUGCCGAGGAUGGUCUGGAACUGGCUGGUGAUGGUGUGGAUGAACACCUUGUCGGCCUCCUUCCCGCCCUUCUGCAGCUGCUUGUACUCCUCUUCGCCCUCCUCCGGCAUCUUCCGACGGCUCACCGUCGGCCGCGCCGAUGCCACCCAGAUGAUGGUGGUGCACGUCUUGGCCAGCUCCUGCACGGUCACCAUCUUGGGCCACCAGUCGGCGUCCUUGAGGUCGCCGUGCCCGACCUCGCGCACCUCCUUCCACCACUCCUCCAGCUCCUUGUCGGCCCGGAGCACGCCGUCGUUGGGGUAG